UUGACAGCUCAGACAGGCUUUUUGGAGCUUCCAUAUAUCUUCCGGCUUUACUGCUGAUGAAACUUCACGUCCCCCUCCUUCUAAAUGCUUCCUUAAUUCCUUCUAAAAAUUUUCCUCAUAAUCCAUACAGAUAUUACACAGAAAUUCAAUAUUCCUUUCAUUGUGGUAAGAAAGCACAGUUGGGCGUCAGGAAAUGUGGUGUCCUAGUCUGACCUCUAGCACUGUGGUAAGAAAGUACAACGCAACUACUAUGCACGAAUUGUAUCUCCCUCCCUCAAGUUCGGAUGUCGAAAAGCUAAUCCCCAAUACCUGAAAACAUGACUGCAUUUGGAUACAAGCCCUUUCAAGAGGUGAUUAAGUUAAAAUGAAGCCAUUAGGGUGGGCCUUAAUCCAAUUUCACUGGAUUGGAUGCAGAGAGAGACACCACCAGAGGCAUACAAAAGCGUGGAAGAAAGACCAUGUGAGUACCCAGAAAGAAGGUGGCUGUCUGCAAGCCAAGGAGAAAGGCCUCAGAAGAAACCAAACUUGUCAAUACCUUAUUUUUGGACUUCCACCAGCUUCCAGAGCUAUCAAAAGAUAAGUUGCAGUUGUUUAAACUGUCUGGUCUGUGGUAUUUUAUUAUGGCAGCCAUAGCAAACUAAUACAGCAAAUUUCGAGUACAUUUCUUAAAUCCAUGAGCUUCCGUGCCCUUCAAAUAAACUAGGGAAUGAGAUUAUGAGAUCUGCACAAUUCUUAAACCUUAAAUAGGUCAUUCAUUUCUAAUGAGGUUGGCACUAAAAAGAACAUUGAGCUUCCCUAGCACACACAAACUCAUAUUUCAUUGGCCUGAAUGGCUUAGACCUCUCUAUUCCUAACUCAAUCACUCACUUAGAAUUACAGGUACUGUGAAAGGGCUGGAGCUAUAAUCUUGCUGGAAAGGAUAUGGGGAGGCAACUGUAAUGUCCACUAAAGAUAUAUCGCUGGUGGUGGGUCAGCCACCUUGUGACGACAAGGUGACCAUGAAUAGAGAAGCCCCACACCAAGGAUGGUGAAACAGAAUGGCAGAAAGAGCCUGGAGGCUGCUGGUGUCAGGGAACCAACCACUGCCCCAGGCCUGGACUGACAGCCUCUGGAUAAAUGAGAAAGAGACACCUAUGUUUGCCAAACUGCUUCCCAGGAAGAUCUGAAACAAUUUACACUCUCACCAAAAUUGUGUGAGCAUAUAUAGCCCUUCACACUGUUACCGGGAUUCUGUAUUAACUUUUCAAAAAAGACAACGG
This is a long non-coding RNA of Ailuropoda melanoleuca (giant panda), 1259 nucleotides long. RefSeq lists it as uncharacterized. Lineage: Eukaryota; Metazoa; Chordata; Mammalia; Carnivora; Ursidae. The transcript is spliced from 3 exons. The record is from RefSeq and is a predicted model, not a curated record.